RNAcentral lists this ribosomal RNA (2926 nucleotides) under Escherichia coli. RNAcentral describes it as "bacterial LSU rRNA". It matches the Rfam family "Bacterial large subunit ribosomal RNA". Lineage: Bacteria; Pseudomonadati; Pseudomonadota; Gammaproteobacteria; Enterobacterales; Enterobacteriaceae. The record is from RNAcentral.
GGGUUGUGAGGUUAAGCGACUAAGCGUACACGGUGGAUGCCCUGGCAGUCAGAGGCGAUGAAGGACGUGCUAAUCUGCGAUAAGCGUCGGUAAGGUGAUAUGAACCGUUAUAACCGGCGAUUUCCGAAUGGGGAAACCCAGUGUGAUUCGUCACACUAUCAUUAACUGAAUCCAUAGGUUAAUGAGGCGAACCGGGGGAACUGAAACAUCUAAGUACCCCGAGGAAAAGAAAUCAACCGAGAUUCCCCCAGUAGCGGCGAGCGAACGGGGAGGAGCCCAGAGCCUGAAUCAGUGUGUGUGUUAGUGGAAGCGUCUGGAAAGGCGCGCGAUACAGGGUGACAGCCCCGUACACAAAAAUGCACAUAUUGUGAGCUCGAUGAGUAGGGCGGGACACGUGGUAUCCUGUCUGAAUAUGGGGGGACCAUCCUCCAAGGCUAAAUACUCCUGACUGACCGAUAGUGAACCAGUACCGUGAGGGAAAGGCGAAAAGAACCCCGGCGAGGGGAGUGAAAAAGAACCUGAAACCGUGUACGUACAAGCAGUGGGAGCCUCUUUAUGGGGUGACUGCGUACCUUUUGUAUAAUGGGUCAGCGACUUAUAUUCUGUAGCAAGGUUAACCGAAUAGGGGAGCCGAAGGGAAACCGAGUCUUAACUGGGCGUUAAGUUGCAGGGUAUAGACCCGAAACCCGGUGAUCUAGCCAUGGGCAGGUUGAAGGUUGGGUAACACUAACUGGAGGACCGAACCGACUAAUGUUGAAAAAUUAGCGGAUGACUUGUGGCUGGGGGUGAAAGGCCAAUCAAACCGGGAGAUAGCUGGUUCUCCCCGAAAGCUAUUUAGGUAGCGCCUCGUGAAUUCAUCUCCGGGGGUAGAGCACUGUUUCGGCAAGGGGGUCAUCCCGACUUACCAACCCGAUGCAAACUGCGAAUACCGGAGAAUGUUAUCACGGGAGACACACGGCGGGUGCUAACGUCCGUCGUGAAGAGGGAAACAACCCAGACCGCCAGCUAAGGUCCCAAAGUCAUGGUUAAGUGGGAAACGAUGUGGGAAGGCCCAGACAGCCAGGAUGUUGGCUUAGAAGCAGCCAUCAUUUAAAGAAAGCGUAAUAGCUCACUGGUCGAGUCGGCCUGCGCGGAAGAUGUAACGGGGCUAAACCAUGCACCGAAGCUGCGGCAGCGACGCUUAUGCGUUGUUGGGUAGGGGAGCGUUCUGUAAGCCUGUGAAGGUGUACUGUGAGGUAUGCUGGAGGUAUCAGAAGUGCGAAUGCUGACAUAAGUAACGAUAAAGCGGGUGAAAAGCCCGCUCGCCGGAAGACCAAGGGUUCCUGUCCAACGUUAAUCGGGGCAGGGUGAGUCGACCCCUAAGGCGAGGCCGAAAGGCGUAGUCGAUGGGAAACAGGUUAAUAUUCCUGUACUUGGUGUUACUGCGAAGGGGGGACGGAGAAGGCUAUGUUGGCCGGGCGACGGUUGUCCCGGUUUAAGCGUGUAGGCUGGUUUUCCAGGCAAAUCCGGAAAAUCAAGGCUGAGGCGUGAUGACGAGGCACUACGGUGCUGAAGCAACAAAUGCCCUGCUUCCAGGAAAAGCCUCUAAGCAUCAGGUAACAUCAAAUCGUACCCCAAACCGACACAGGUGGUCAGGUAGAGAAUACCAAGGCGCUUGAGAGAACUCGGGUGAAGGAACUAGGCAAAAUGGUGCCGUAACUUCGGGAGAAGGCACGCUGAUAUGUAGGUGAAGCGACGUGCUCGUGGAGCUGAAAUCAGUCGAAGAUACCAGCUGGCUGCAACUGUUUAUUAAAAACACAGCACUGUGCAAACACGAAAGUGGACGUAUACGGUGUGACGCCUGCCCGGUGCCGGAAGGUUAAUUGAUGGGGUUAGCGGUAACGCGAAGCUCUUGAUCGAAGCCCCGGUAAACGGCGGCCGUAACUAUAACGGUCCUAAGGUAGCGAAAUUCCUUGUCGGGUAAGUUCCGACCUGCACGAAUGGCGUAAUGAUGGCCAGGCUGUCUCCACCCGAGACUCAGUGAAAUUGAACUCGCUGUGAAGAUGCAGUGUACCCGCGGCAAGACGGAAAGACCCCGUGAACCUUUACUAUAGCUUGACACUGAACAUUGAGCCUUGAUGUGUAGGAUAGGUGGGAGGCUUUGAAGUGUGGACGCCAGUCUGCAUGGAGCCGACCUUGAAAUACCACCCUUUAAUGUUUGAUGUUCUAACGUUGGCCCGUAAUCCGGGUUGCGGACAGUGUCUGGUGGGUAGUUUGACUGGGGCGGUCUCCUCCUAAAGAGUAACGGAGGAGCACGAAGGUUGGCUAAUCCUGGUCGGACAUCAGGAGGUUAGUGCAAUGGCAUAAGCCAGCUUGACUGCGAGCGUGACGGCGCGAGCAGGUGCGAAAGCAGGUCAUAGUGAUCCGGUGGUUCUGAAUGGAAGGGCCAUCGCUCAACGGAUAAAAGGUACUCCGGGGAUAACAGGCUGAUACCGCCCAAGAGUUCAUAUCGACGGCGGUGUUUGGCACCUCGAUGUCGGCUCAUCACAUCCUGGGGCUGAAGUAGGUCCCAAGGGUAUGGCUGUUCGCCAUUUAAAGUGGUACGCGAGCUGGGUUUAGAACGUCGUGAGACAGUUCGGUCCCUAUCUGCCGUGGGCGCUGGAGAACUGAGGGGGGCUGCUCCUAGUACGAGAGGACCGGAGUGGACGCAUCACUGGUGUUCGGGUUGUCAUGCCAAUGGCACUGCCCGGUAGCUAAAUGCGGAAGAGAUAAGUGCUGAAAGCAUCUAAGCACGAAACUUGCCCCGAGAUGAGUUCUCCCUGACCCUUUAAGGGUCCUGAAGGAACGUUGAAGACGACGACGUUGAUAGGCCGGGUGUGUAAGCGCAGCGAUGCGUUGAGCUAACCGGUACUAAUGAACCGUGAGGCUUAACCUUACAACGCCGAAG